AAGCGAGUCUGAACAGGGCGUAUAGUCGGUAGUGGUAGACGCGAAACCAAGUGAUCUACCCUUGAGCAGGUUGAAGUUGAGGUGAAACUCAAUGGAGGACCGAACCGACUACCGUUGAAAAGUUAGCGGAUGACUUGUGGCUAGGGGAGAAAUUCCAAUCGAACCCGGAGAUAGCUGGUUCUCCCCGAAAUAGCUUUAGGGCUAGCGUUGGAAAGAACCUUAGUGAAGGUAGAGCACUGAAUGUGUGAUGGCCCCAUCCCGGGGUACUGAAUACAAUCAAACUGCGAAUGUCAUUAAGGAUGUCCGGCAGUCAGACUGUGAGUGAUAAGGUCCAUGGUCAAGAGGGAAACAGCCCAGACCGCCAGUUAAGGUCCCAAAAUACAGGCUAAGUGGAAAAGGAUGUGGGGAUGCCCAGACAACUAGGAGGUUGGCUCAGAAGCAGCCAUCCUUUAAAGAGUGCGUAACAGCUCACUAGUCGAGUGACCCUGCGCCGAAAAUGUACCGGGGCUAAGCCUGAUACCGAAACUGCGGAUUGUAGGAAACUAUAGUGGUAGGGGAGCGUUGUAUACGAGUAGAAGCCGUACCGUGAGGAGCGGUGGAUUGUAUAGAAGUGAGAAUGCCGGUGUGAGUAGCGAGAUGUAGGUGAGAAUCCUACACACCGAAAGCCCAAGGAUUCCAGGGGAAGGUUCGUCCGCCCUGGGUAAGUCGGGACCUAACGCGAGGCCGAAAGGCGUAGUGGAUGGAAAGCAGGCGAAAGAUUCCUGCACCCGUAUAUGGAGCGAAGGAGUGACGGAGACGGAUAGUGUGACCCUCUUAAUGGAUUGAGGGCGAAGCGAAGCGGCUGGUUACCAGGCAAAUCCGGUAACCUUAAGGCUAGAGCGUGACAGGCAAGCGAAAUCUAAGGAAAGUAGCGAAGCACAUGAUGACGGCUUCCAGGAAAAGCUUCUGGCAAUGCAUAUGCGGCCCGUACCAAAACCGACACAGGUGGGCAGGGAGAGAAUCCCGAGGUGAGCGAGAGAACUGUUGCCAAGGAACUCGGCAAAAUGACUCCGUAAGUUAGCGAGAAGGAGUGCUUAAGCAAUUAAGCCGCAGUGAAGAGGCCCAAGCGACUGUUUAACUAAAACACAGCUCUCUGCGAAGUCGCAAGACGAAGUAUAGGGGGUGACACCUGCCCGGUGCUGGAAGGUUAAGAGGAUCUGUUAAGAGCGAUCUGAAGCAGUGAUCCGAAGCCCCAGUGAACGGCGGCCGUAACUAUAACGGUCCUAAGGUAGCGAAAUUCCUUGUCAGGUAAGUUCUGACCC
RNAcentral lists this ribosomal RNA (1301 nucleotides) under human gut metagenome. RNAcentral's name for it is "bacterial LSU rRNA". It matches the Rfam family "Bacterial large subunit ribosomal RNA", at positions 675 to 1989 of the family's 2925-position model. The record is from RNAcentral.